This 253-nucleotide ribosomal RNA is filed under the name uncultured bacterium. Its description in RNAcentral is "partial 16S ribosomal RNA". It matches the Rfam family "Bacterial small subunit ribosomal RNA", at positions 524 to 776 of the family's 1533-position model. The record is from RNAcentral.
UACGAAGGGUGCAAGCGUUGUUCGGAUUUAUUGGGCGUAAAGCGCGCGCAGGCGGAUUUGCAAGUCAUAUGUGAAAUCUCGGGGCUUAACCCCGAAACUGCGUCUGAAACUGCAGAUCUAGAGUCUUAGAGGGGGAAGGGGAAUUUCUUGUGUAGGGGUAAAAUCCGUAGAUAUGAGAAGGAACACCUGAGGCGAAGGCGCCUUCCUGGCUAAGUACUGACGCUGAGGCGCGAAAGCGUGGGGAGCAAACAGG